This 73-nucleotide transfer RNA is filed under the name Hirsutella rhossiliensis. It matches the Rfam family "tRNA". From Rfam's summary of the family: Transfer RNA (tRNA) molecules are approximately 80 nucleotides in length. Their secondary structure includes four short double-helical elements and three loops (D, anti-codon, and T loops). Further hydrogen bonds mediate the characteristic L-shaped molecular structure. tRNAs have two regions of fundamental functional importance: the anti-codon, which is responsible for specific mRNA codon recognition, and the 3' end, to which the tRNAs corresponding amino acid is attached (by aminoacyl-tRNA synthetases). tRNAs cope with the degeneracy of the genetic code in two manners: having more than one tRNA (with a specific anti-codon) for a particular amino acid; and 'wobble' base-pairing, i.e. permitting non-standard base-pairing at the 3rd anti-codon position. Lineage: Eukaryota; Fungi; Ascomycota; Sordariomycetes; Hypocreales; Ophiocordycipitaceae. The record is from Rfam by way of RNAcentral.
GGGGGUAUAGUUUAAUUAGGUAAAACCGUAAACUUAUACUUUACUAUUUUAAGUUCGAUGCUUAAUAUCUCUA